Long non-coding RNA from Dermacentor andersoni, 806 nucleotides. RefSeq lists it as uncharacterized. The record is from RefSeq and is a predicted model, not a curated record. Lineage: Eukaryota; Metazoa; Arthropoda; Arachnida; Ixodida; Ixodidae.
UUACGGUCACUUUUACGGAUAGAUUUGGGUAGAGAAGUGUGCACUGGUUCCUGAAUUGCAUCUGGUGCUUGUGUUACUGGUAGUAUCGGCUACCCCCGGAAGGCGAAUGCUAGUUGCGGUUUGAAGGAACAUGCGCGCUCCAAGCGGCUACCGGAUAUCCUAACUUAUUUUUUUUUCUCUUUUUGUGAAAUUUAAAUCCGGCGGUGAAGCGCAGGAAGUGGUUGUCCUCGUGCGUUCGUCGAGCUUACCUCCGCUCACCCUUGCCACUCGCUCAGCGAUAUGAAAAGUCGGGUUGCAAUUGGUCAUCUGCUUCGGUUGUCGUCCGAAGUAUGAACAUGGGGAAGAUAAGACAGAGAAACUCGAUCAGGCCUGCAACGAACGGAAGACGCAGGAGCCAGGUCAACCAAGCAUUAGACGAAGAUGGCUAAAGCGGGCAUCACAUGUGUUUCGCGGCUCUGUACUGUUCUAACACCGGGAAUUCCAGUUCAGCGAAAUUGUUCAGGUUUCCUAAUGACAGCUGGUUUGGCUCACUUGGCGAGAAGUCGACCGAGGACAUGCGCCGAACACUGAGAAAGAAGGUACGUUUGACGGAUCCGGCAGUGUUGCAAUGAAAAUUCUGCACAAGAAACGCGACACCAGACGUACGUCUCUUGCGUCACCUAAGCUCCUGUUAACGUCCGUUCAGUGCUCUUUGGAAAUCGCCGUUGACAGGGAAGACUUGUCUCAAGGCGAACAUUUCAUCAAUUUUCGUAUGAGGGACUGCGCUUCAUCAAUCUUCGAAUAACAGCGCAGAAAACCACAGUGCG